AUAACAGUUAGAAAUGACUGCUAAUACCGCAUAAGACCACAGCACCGCAUGGUGCAGGGGUAAAAACUCCGGUGGUAUGAGAUGGACCCGCGUCUGAUUAGGUAGUUGGUGGGGUAACGGCCUACCAAGCCGACGAUCAGUAGCCGACCUGAGAGGGUGACCGGCCACAUUGGGACUGAGACACGGCCCAAACUCCUACGGGAGGCAGCAGUGGGGAAUAUUGCACAAUGGGGGAAACCCUGAUGCAGCGACGCCGCGUGAGCGAUGAAGUAUUUCGGUAUGUAAAGCUCUAUCAGCAGGGAAGAAAAUGACGGUACCUGACUAAGAAGCACCGGCUAAAUACGUGCCAGCAGCCGCGGUAAUACGUAUGGUGCAAGCGUUAUCCGGAUUUACUGGGUGUAAAGGGAGCGUAGACGGAGUGGCAAGUCUGAUGUGAAAACCCGGGGCUCAACCCCGGGACUGCAUUGGAAACUGUCAAUCUGGAGUACCGGAGAGGUAAGCGGAAUUCCUAGUGUAGCGGUGAAAUGCGUAGAUAUUAGGAGGAACACCAGUGGCGAAGGCGGCUUACUGGACGGUAACUGACGUUGAGGCUCGAAAGCGUGGGGAGCAAACAGGAUUAGAUACCCUGGUAGUCCACGCCGUAAACAAUGACUACUAGGUGUCGGGCAGCAAAGCUGUUCGGUGCCG
Molecule: ribosomal RNA, 687 nt
Filed under: uncultured bacterium
Lineage: Bacteria
Description: bacterial SSU rRNA
Rfam family: Bacterial small subunit ribosomal RNA
Source: RNAcentral